Molecule: transfer RNA, 74 nt
Filed under: Paenibacillus thiaminolyticus
Lineage: Bacteria; Bacillati; Bacillota; Bacilli; Caryophanales; Paenibacillaceae
Description: tRNA-Gly
Rfam family: tRNA
About the family: Transfer RNA (tRNA) molecules are approximately 80 nucleotides in length.
Source: RNAcentral
GCGGAUAUAGUUUAAUGGUAGAACGUUAGCUUGCCAUGCUAGUAGUACGGGUUCGAUUCCCGUUAUCCGCUCCA